This is a long non-coding RNA of Passer domesticus (house sparrow), 2507 nucleotides long. RefSeq lists it as uncharacterized. The record is from RefSeq and is a predicted model, not a curated record. NCBI's taxonomy places the organism in Eukaryota, Metazoa, Chordata, Aves, Passeriformes, Passeridae. The transcript is spliced from 3 exons.
GCAGAUGAUGACUCUAUGGAGAGGGCUGGAAACAUGAAUCAAGAGUGCAGGAUUCCAUGGGAGCAUAGCUCAAAGAUGAGCUAGUGAAGGCCUUGGUGAAAACCAAGAUGCUCACAGGAAGAGGACACUGACAAUUAUGCUACUGUUGGGGGAGAGACAGAAGAGGAUAGAAGCAGAAUAAGGGAGAGAUGUGAACUUAAGUGGCAUUGUGCUGCAGGCGUGCUGCUAUUUUAGUCAAUCUCCUGGAACUGCAGGGUUAUUUACUGGAAAUCUAGUCUGAAAAUGCAUUCUUUGUGUAAUGCUCUAAGUAGGAAGCCACCCCAAGGGAUGUGAAUUACCAAAUACUGUGACAUGAUGGUGCAGAAGAUAAACCCAAACAAACCAUUACUCUCAAAGGCAUAUAGCUAAAUAUUUAUUUCAGAGUCAAUUGAAAAAAAAAAUUAAUUCAGCAAGAGUACACAGUAUAACUGCAGGUCUAACUUAGCUCUGCUGUCUGCUCAUGCUUUAUUCCCAGACAGGAGAGAUUCAAUGUUCACAGACCUGGGGUCUGCAGUGGGGUCCUGCUACUUACAGCUACUUACAGCUGACUUGCCUGAGUCAGUUUUGCUGACGCAGAUGCUAGAGAAAAGCUGGUGUGAAGUUACUGAAUGAGCCUUGUGAAAGGAGAGGGGGACACUGAGCAAUCUUCACCUGUGUAUGAACAGAAGGUGUAGUUCCUUUAUCUGCACUUUUUCCAGAGGACAUAGAGAAAACUGACAGCUUUAUAUAUUCAUUUCUUCAACAGAUACAGUUUUUGUUUCAGUUGAAUGUAAGUCUUCUAGGAUCAAAGGGCUCUAUAAUCAGAAAGAUGUUGUGAAAGAAAUGUUUCCAUCUCCUCCUGCCACGUGCCUUAAGGCUACAAAAGCAGCUCUCUUUCAACCCUGAAAUGGCAAUAAAAAAGCAAACCAUCAAUUAGAAUGUGGAACUGUCUUCACUGUGAAACUCCACUGCUGAGUCAUGUAAAAUGGGACAGCAAGAGUGGGAAAACACUGCUUUAAGGAAAGACUGUGUUAAUCUAGAUGACUGAGGUGUUCUCUGGCAGAAUUUCUAGGGGUCUGCUGCACAGCAGACCAGCAGGAAAUCCAGGAGGCUGUUGCACCAGCUGAACCAUGAAUAUGUUGAAACAGACUAUGUCCUCCAAAAUGAAUGGUUUUGGGGGGUGGCAGUUGUUUAUAAUUCUGUAAUGAGAAUUUCAGGUUUGUGUAUAAACAGUGGGAAAAGUGAACUAAGCAAUGUAAACCAGUACUUUACUUAUUUUUGAGAAUUCGUUUGUAAAACUUGAUGUUUACAUGACAGUUAGCACUGUCCUCCUGCCAGAAGAUAUUGAAAAGGAAGGAAAUGAACUGUGCAGUCAUUUACACCCCAUGAAAAGACAUUUGGUAGCUUAGAAAGAUUUCUUGGUUUCUCUAGUGACUUGUUUGUAAUGUAAGCUCGCUGUCUUUAUAUUCUGGUCAUGUACAGAGUCAAGCAAAAGCAGCACUGGGAAAAAAAUUGUAGGGCCAAAUCCAUUUUAAUGUACCUUCACCACAGUUGGUGGAGUUAAGCCAGGAGAUAAUUUGUCCCAAAGAUUUUGGAGCAACAAAGCAUUAAACUGAAGCUUAAUAGAGCAUUAAAGCUGACAGGAGUAGCAAGAAUUUAUUUGCAAUUAAUUUUCACUCAGAAUAUGGUAAAAUGGUAAAAGGAAAAUUUUCCAAAACUGUAAUGAGCAUGCACAACCUCUGAAUUCUCUGAAAAGGAAGCCGGCCUUUCCCAUAGGUUUCCAUAAACAUAUCUCCCCAUAAAUAUACCCUCUUAUCUCCUGGUUUUGAUCUGCUCACUUGUCCAGUUAGGUCCAUGCAACUGCUAACUUUUAAAGCUGAGUCCUUGCCAAAGCUGUCUGUGCUCUCAAAGUAAAACAAAACAUUGCACAUAGAAAAAAAAAAGCGUGUUGCUGAUGAAGACAAUGAUAGGAAUGACCUACUAGGACAGAUGCACACCACAUCACAUAAUAAAUACAUUGUUACUGCAUAUGGUAUGACAUCACAGAUGUGCCUGAACACACUUGAUGAUUUAGCACCUUUUGCUGUGAGAUAAAGCUGUGCCAGAUUAUGGCAGAAAACAAUCCAGGCAGCUGAAGUAUGAAGCGCUUUUCCAAAGACCAUAAGUAAAUCAUUUAAUAAAGUGUUCUGCUCUUUUUGAUAUAGCAUGUUUGAUUCUAAAGGACAACAGGUGUUCCCUGAUCAAAGAUCUCCAAUUACAAAGAUGUGUAGGACAGAGAAGCAACACUCUGGGGUGGUGGGACUGUGUGGUUUUUUUCUCUGAUUUUCUUUUUUCUGCAGUACCCUAUCAAGGGGCUCUGGGUAUUUAGCAUAAUUCCUUUCCACACAAUCCAAGCCAUUUUCUUUUCUAGAGUAAGGAUACAAGAAACCUUUCUUUAAGCCCAUUCAAGGCAAGUAGUCAACCUGAUGUUCUUCACUUUGAUCUAGGCU